RNAcentral lists this ribosomal RNA (490 nucleotides) under uncultured bacterium. RNAcentral describes it as "partial 16S ribosomal RNA". It matches the Rfam family "Bacterial small subunit ribosomal RNA", at positions 30 to 507 of the family's 1533-position model. The record is from RNAcentral.
AUUGAACGCUGGCGGCAGGCCUAACACAUGCAAGUCGAACGGUAACAGGAAGCAGCUUGCUGCUUUGCUGACGAGUGGCGGACGGGUGAGUAAUGUCUGGGAAACUGCCCGAUGGAGGGAGAUAACUACUGGAAACGGUAGCUAAUACCGCAUAACGUCGCAAGACCAAAGAGGGGGACCUUAGGGCCUCUUGCCAUCGGAUGUGCCCAGAUGGGAUUAGCUAGUAGGUGGGGUAACGGCUCACCUAGGCGACGAUCCCUAGCUGGUCUGAGAGGAUGACCAGCCACACUGGAACUGAGACACGGUCCAGACUCCUACGGGAGGCAGCAGUGGGGAAUAUUGCACAAUGGGCGCAAGCCUGAUGCAGCCAUGCCGCGUGUAUGAAGAAGGCCUUCGGGUUGUAAAGUACUUUCAGCGGGGAGGAAGGGAGUAAAGUUAAUACCUUUGCUCAUUGACGUUACCCGCAGAAGAAGCACCGGCUAACUCCGUG